This is a small nuclear RNA of Cricetulus griseus (Chinese hamster), 109 nucleotides long. The record is from Ensembl. Lineage: Eukaryota; Metazoa; Chordata; Mammalia; Rodentia; Cricetidae.
GAUCUAUUCUGCUACUACUUCAUAUACUAAAAUUGGAAUAAUACUGAGGAGAUUAGCAUGUCCCCUGUGCAAGGAUGACAUGCAAAUUCGUGAAGUGUUCCAUAUUAUU